This 69-nucleotide transfer RNA is filed under the name Dendropsophus joannae. RNAcentral describes it as "tRNA-Val". It matches the Rfam family "tRNA". Rfam says of the family: Transfer RNA (tRNA) molecules are approximately 80 nucleotides in length. Their secondary structure includes four short double-helical elements and three loops (D, anti-codon, and T loops). Lineage: Eukaryota; Metazoa; Chordata; Amphibia; Anura; Hylidae. The record is from RNAcentral.
CAACAUGUAGCUUAAUUAAAGCAUCUCGCUUACACCGAGAUAAUAUCUGUGAGACCCAGAUCAUUUUGA